GAGUGCGGGCCCCUCGGGGCCCAACCUCCCACCCGUGUUGCCCGAACCUAUGUUGCCUCGGCGGGCCCCGCGCCCGCCGACGGCCCCCCUGAACGCUGUCUGAAGUUGCAGUCUGAGACCUAUAACGAAAUUAGUUAAAACUUUCAACAACGGAUCUCUUGGUUCCGGCAUCGAUGAAGAACGCAGCGAAAUGCGAUAACUAAUGUGAAUUGCAGAAUUCAGUGAAUCAUCGAGUCUUUGAACGCACAUUGCGCCCUCUGGUAUUCCGGAGGGCAUGCCUGUCCGAGCGUCAUUGCUGCCCUCAAGCCCGGCUUGUGUGUUGGGCCCCGUCCCCCCCGCCGGGGGGACGGGCCCGAAAGGCAGCGGCGGCACCGCGUCCGGUCCUCGAGCGUAUGGGGCUUCGUCACCCGCUCUAGUAGGCCCGGCCGGCGCCAGCCGACCCCCAACCUUUAAUUAUCUCAGGUUGACCUCGGAUCAGGUAGGGAUACCCGCUGAACUUAAGCAUAUCAAUAAGCGGAGGAAAAGAAACCAACCGGGAUUGCCCUAGUAACUG
This 553-nucleotide ribosomal RNA is filed under the name Penicillium sp. BAB-3873. Its description in RNAcentral is "eukaryotic LSU rRNA". The stretch from base 139 to 292 matches the Rfam family "5.8S ribosomal RNA". Lineage: Eukaryota; Fungi; Ascomycota; Eurotiomycetes; Eurotiales; Aspergillaceae. The record is from RNAcentral.